Ictidomys tridecemlineatus (thirteen-lined ground squirrel) is the source of this 72-nucleotide non-coding RNA. The record is from Rfam. NCBI's taxonomy places the organism in Eukaryota, Metazoa, Chordata, Mammalia, Rodentia, Sciuridae.
GGUGUUGUGGCUCAGUGGUAGAGCGCUUGCCAAGUCUGCAUGAAGCACUGGGUUUGAACCCCAGCACCACAU